This 76-nucleotide transfer RNA is filed under the name Chlamydiota bacterium. RNAcentral's name for it is "Chlamydiae bacterium tRNA-Cys". It matches the Rfam family "tRNA". From Rfam's summary of the family: Transfer RNA (tRNA) molecules are approximately 80 nucleotides in length. The record is from RNAcentral. Lineage: Bacteria; Pseudomonadati; Chlamydiota.
CGUGGUGUGGCUGAAUGGCUAAGGCAGAGGCUUGCAACACCUUUUUUUGUGGGUUCAAUUCCCACCGCCACGUCCA